RNAcentral lists this ribosomal RNA (253 nucleotides) under uncultured bacterium. Its description in RNAcentral is "partial 16S ribosomal RNA". It matches the Rfam family "Bacterial small subunit ribosomal RNA", at positions 524 to 776 of the family's 1533-position model. The record is from RNAcentral.
UACGGAGGGGGCUAGCGUUGUUCGGAAUUACUGGGCGUAAAGCGCACGUAGGCGGCUUUGUAAGUUAGAGGUGAAAGCCCGGGGCUCAACUCCGGAAUUGCCUUUAAGACUGCAUCGCUAGAAUUGUGGAGAGGUAAGUGGAAUUCCGAGUGUAGAGGUGAAAUUCGUAGAUAUUCGGAAGAACACCAGUGGCGAAGGCGGGUCUCUGGGCAGUAACUGACGCUGAGGAGCGAAAGCGUGGGGAGCGAAACGG